UUGUAAGAGUUGCCAUGGUCAUGGUGUCUCUUCACAGCCAUAGAAAUCCUAACUAAGACACCCAGAAAGACAAAUAUCAUGUUUUCUGUCAUUUGUGGUUCAAGGAUCUUAUAUAGAGACAUACUUAAAAUCAUGUAUGUAUACAUGACAUGAACGGAAAAGUAAAACUGUCUAGGGGCAAGAGAUUAACAGGAACAGGGAGAAAGGUGUGUGUGAGAGAGAAGGACAGAAUAUGCCCAACACAUAAUACAUACCAUGAAAAAUUGAAAGUAAAUAAUUCAUUUCCAAAUAGUGAUUUUUUUCCUUCCUAUUGUAUUUUCAUUUGACCUUCAUUUACAUAAAACAUGCUUUUUUUUAAAUUCUGAGAGUUACAAGAAGAUUACAAUUAGAAACUGAAGUCACAUGUAUUACAGGUGAAUUUUUCUCAUGUGCUGGAGACAAUGUCUGGCUAGAUAGCCCAGGUAGCCUGACAUUCAUUAUCCUUCUGACUGGCCCUCCUGAGUUCUGGGAUGAGAUGUGUGUCACAGUGCCCAACCAUUCCAGGUUAGUUUUUACAGACCUUCCUUUCCUGAACGUCCUGUGUGUCCUGCAUGUUGAGAAAAGAACAGUGUACGCAAUGAGGAGUCCAGGUUUGGCUUUGGGUGAACAAUGGUCCACUCCACCGGUGGUCGGUCAAGUGGCCUCAGCAAGUUCCUGGGAGCUGCUUCUCAUCGGUUCAUUUCGUUUUAUAUUACCUUAUCUUCUAUGUUCUGGUGGGAUUUUCUUGUUUGUGUGAGACAGGUCUCACAUAGUUGGUCUCCAACUUGCUAUACAAUCAAGGCUGACCUUGAGCUUCUGGCCCUCCUGGUUCCUCACACUGAGUGCUGGGAUUACAGGUGUGUGUGUGCCACCGAGCACAGUAGAUACCACAGGUACAGCAUUCAAUCCCCUUUUACUUCUUUGAGUUUAUCUGCUGUCCUGCUUGUCUGCUCCUUCGUAGUCCCACUCAGUGUUUCUGGAAGAUUCUGUCUACCAUGGACCUCCAAACAGCUUUCUCCCUCUUUAUCCAAUCCCCCCCUCUCUCUUUCCCUCUCCCUCCAUCUUUCUUUACCAUCAUACUAUCUCCUCAGAAAGGUCUUUCCUCAAUAUCCCUUAAAGAUAUUACUCUUAUCCUCAUUAUUGCCUUGACUAUGUAUUUCUAUUAUGGAAAAAUAGACACAAUGUAAAAUUAGCCAAUACAGCCAUCUGAAGCAUACAAGCCAGUAGCUUAACAUGUUUUCAGUAUUGUGCAACCCUUGCCUCCACUCGUCUCCAGACUGUUUUCAUCAGUACAAACAGAAACUUUGCACUGCAUGGCUGUUUUGAUGGCCUUCUAUUUACCUGUUGAUGAGGGAGAGAUCCCUGCCCUAGGGGGUGUAGGGAAGGCCAAACACAUGCCCUGUGACCCUGGAAAGCUGAGGCAGAUGACUAUGUCAACUUACCAGUCAUAUCCACUCACAGCCUGGAGGACGAAUUCAGCAUGUGCCACACAGGGCUCUCCUCCAGAACAGAGAGAUGAACAGGAAAGUUAUAGGAGUCUGGGUAAGAUAACCUCUGGCUCUCCCCAAAUGGUGUGAUAGCUUGUUCUAAAACUUCCAGUGGCUGCAGGGAACCAAAGCCCACCACCUUAAGCAUCUGUAGGAACUGCCCUGAGCCCCCAGGGCAAAGUAGUCUGUUUGGCUGGGAGAUCUUAUCCAUGUGAACAUGUUGAGGAGAGUAACAUGAAAUCAAGUCAUUCAAGGUCCCUCAGUGUCAUCAGACGUCAAAAGCUGCAUAAUGGUAAGCCUUAGUUUUCAGACUUCCACCAAAGUCAUUUCCUAUCGCCUUUCCAUGUUUCAGUCUGUUGGGCACUUGCCAACACACCUUGUUUAUUCAUUAUAAUCUACCCAUUCACAUGAAAAGAUCAUCAGGGUAAGGAUUUCUCCAUGUUCGGUCUCCUGCUACAUCCUCAAUGCUCCAAGAAUACUGAGCACACAGAAUUACCUCAAUAAAUAUCUGUUUAAUCAAUUGUUUCACAUUUUGUCAUAUUUGUAAAUGAAUUUUCUUAUCAAGUAUCCAAUUUUACGAAUCCCUGUGAGAUAGGUUUUUGCAAUGAUGACAUAUCGCUUCUGAAUAAACAGGGUGACUGAUGCUAGACAAACACAUCUCUUAGAUCUUCAGAGAGGCUUCCCUGUGCCGAGGAUGCCGCAGAAAUACAGAACUGAUCAGAGCACAGAGAACAAACGUCAGUGCAGUGCUCAGCCACAAAUGGAACAUCCGCAUCACACCCCACCCCCAAAGCUUAGGGGACAUCACGGACAAGAGAGCAGAGAGAUCGUAAGAGCUGGAGGGCUUGGAGAGCACCAGAGCGAAACUGUUUCCUGGACCACAGAACCCCUGAAUGCCCUGCAUCUGUGGAUGCCUGUACAAAACCGGUACAGGAUCAAGCUGGCCGCAUUGCAGCAUGAAAGGGUCUCGGCCCUAGAUGACGAGCUAUUGACAGUCCGUCUCGAUGCUCCAAUUUACCUUAAAGAAAUGCCUGCAAAAGCCAGCCUUGGACUUAGCCUAGAACCCUAAUGCCAGGCCUCCGUUUCCCACCGGCAAAUUGGAUAGCCUUGAGGCAGCCAUUUGGCUUUUGCACAAUUUAGUUUCCUAACCUGUAAAAUGGGGUAAGAGCCAACCUACCCAUGUUGUACAAGGAUGGUAUUAAAUGUAAUUAAAUAGUAGGCCAAAGGCUUAUUAAACAUCGGCGGCGGCGGAGGCUUAAUGCUGUCGUCAUUACCCAAUACAAGGUCAUUUGCUUGUCUCUAACCCUAGGGGCCCAGCUCAUGGCUGCCCUGACUUCAAAGCCCCAAACCCACCUCUGCCGUUCUCACGGAGCUGCUGACCUUGCAUUCGGGAUGACAGGGUCUCACUCCACAGCCAUGGCUAGCCUGGAACUCGCUAUGUAGACCAAACUGAUGGAAAACUCACAGAGAGCUACUUCUUUAACAUCUGCUCUAAGUACUAUGAUUAAGAGCCAGACUAAGACAGACAGACAGAUGUACCCCCACAGCAUGGGUGUGGGCUUAUGUAAGAGACGUGUCAUGUGGUUACAACAGUCAUACAUAAAAUUUUGGUGGGUUUUGAAGCUAUGAAUUUCAAAGGGUGAUCAAGGAACAUGAGGGAGGUCACGGGAUGGUUCCCAAGGAGCACAUGACAGGAUUAUAGUUAAUAAGGUAAAACUCGGGAUCACGGGGGAGCUGGAAGGUAGGACGUCUUUACUGUAAACAAGGUUUAGUAGAAUUGUUUCCCUCCAGGAAAUUAGUGGGCAAAGGAAGGAAGCUCUACUCAAGGUCAUACACAAAUAGGCCUCAAGUCUGGGUCAUUGGUAUUUUAGUAAUAAAAUAUGUAUACAUCAAAAUGUGUAUAUGCAAGGGAAUAUCAUCCUUACGUCAGCAACCUUCAUAGCCAGCAUUGUCAAUCACGACGGAACUGUUGCUUCUCAGCAGGUGAGGAGCUUCAACCAGACUCUGGGGUGAGUGGUCCCUUCCCCUCCCAUCCUCAUCAUCUUCCCCAUCUUUCUAUCCUGCCACAGGUUUUAGACUCCCCUGAUGUGGAAAGAGGAGACGAUAAUUUGCAGGGAAGGGAUUCUGCUGCCAGCUUGAACUUAACGUGUGUUCAAUAACAGAGCAGACGAUUUUUUGUCAAGGAAGGUAUCAAACACUGUAGCGUAAGAAGAGGUCGAUGGGGGUGUGGGGGGUGGGGGUGGCAAGGAUACAUAGACUGCUCUCUUCAAUGUGUUAAAAUGGUAGUGCUUUGACUUAAAAAAGAAAUGCUGAUGCAUGCAGUCUGGGGUUCCCCUUGUGAUGAUUGGAGUGAAUGUCUUCAUCUACACCACUGUAGGGGGAGAAUUAUUACUACCUACAGAGGGUAUAUCCUUCCUCCUGGAAUGGCCGUAUGUUCCAGAGGAAACCACCAUAGUAUCCAAUACCGGCCUUGGUGUUUGAAGGAAGGGUCGCAGGCUGGCCCAUGCUCUCCUUGUAACCCAGGCUGUUCUUAAGCUCCAUUCCUCCGGCCUCAGUUUCCCCAGUCUACCGCCAUGCCUGGUCUGAUGCUAUCAUUUCAAAGCAAAGGUAGCCUGUCCUAAAGUAAUUGUUGCCUGAAGCACACCUCUCUGCCCUGUGCUCCCACAGGUUCACACCAUUUAGUCCCAAUUGCUGGAACCUUCUCUGCGGUUGCCCAGCAACCCUCAAGCCAAGGCGGUCCCUGUCCGCAAUGCCUACCUAUGGAGUCUAAGCCACUGCAGUGUCUUAGGCUUUGUUGGUGCGAUUCUGCUGGCUUCCUCCGCCUUUGAGGGGACUGGGAACAACAGCCAGGGUCCCCGAGAGGACAGUGGGACAGUGGGGAGCUAAAGAGAGCGUCUUCUCAAACCAGAUUUCCACCUCAACCAGCUUGGUUGGGUGCCUCUGAAAUUCACUCAGGAACGAACUCGCCUCAUUAUCUUAAAUCAUACCUCCUUCUGAAAAUGGCAUCUGUAGGCUCGCCUGGGGAAUGUGCGUUCCUCCAAUUAGUGAAAUGUUUACCUUUGAAUUGCCAAGUGUUUUCUUCUUCCAGCCAUUACAUAACUGCCUCUAUCUGAACCAUCUGGGAAGACGCCCCACUUCCUCAAAUCCGUAGUCUCCUGAACAGGAGGCGGGGCUUGUUAUCAAAGUACGUUCUGCAUGACGGGGGGCCUCCUGACACCGAAUCUCUCCUUGGGAACCGCAGCUUAACUUCUCAGCGACACACAUGUAAAGACGAGUUUAGGGCUCUGUUUGUGAAAAACCAGCUGAGCUUUGACCAAUCGCUACAGCCAAGCCCCAGCCAAUCACAGACUGCCAACUGAUCAGGCCACUUUCCAAGGAGGCAAACGCCCAGCUGUCAGCGGUCCAGCUCCGCCAUCCCUGUCCCGGGAUGCUGUCCGCCCAUGAUGCCCUGGGGAGGUCUCUGAGCUCACCUGAUUCUGACAGCCAUCUGAUACAAAUCGCUCUUCACUCUCACUCGGCACCCAAACUUGUUAAAUGUUGAACCCGUCAGCAGGUUUUCUCUGAAAACCUGUCCCAGCUCCAAGAGCUUUUCACUGUGGCUAGAGUCUCCUGGGUUCUCGGGUCCUUACUUAAGUUUCCCGGGUUUGCCCCUUGUUAAUCCUUCGAAGGGGAUUCCAGCUUCUUAACUUUGGAUUGCUCUUGGUUCUAAUAGCUCAAAUGUCCACAAGGGAGGACAUGCCACAUGGUCAGUUCUGCCCAGGGCAAUGUGGAUACAGUUCCCAAGGAUGAGGGGAGGGGAAAGCCUUGAACUAGGGAAACCAAGAGGUCUCCUCAUAGCUGUCACCUGGGGUGGAAUGCAGUUAUCCCGUCUCAGAUUCAAAGGAGAUUAUUAGAAUUUUGGUACGCUGAGCUGGAAGAAUCCUGGGACCGAGGAAUGGAGAAACUAUGCACCUGUUCGCAUGAAGCUUCCUCAGCCGGGCUUUAGAAUUUCAGUCUCUCGCAGAUAUUUAUGCAGUCAUAGAACUUUUACCAUUCCAGGAUCAUGUCUAAUGGAUUUAAAAAAAUUAGUUUAAAUAUAAAUAAAGUCUCCUGAAUCUAAAGAAAAGAUCCCCUAAUUAAAUUGGUUUAAUCAUCCAUAUUAUAUCAAUGUGUUGAAAUAUCCACACUGUACUCUGCAAACAUGCCAGUUUUAUGUGAGGUAGUAAAAUGGUUUAAGAGAUUA
Peromyscus maniculatus bairdii (prairie deer mouse) is the source of this 5727-nucleotide non-coding RNA. The record is from RefSeq and is a predicted model, not a curated record. Lineage: Eukaryota; Metazoa; Chordata; Mammalia; Rodentia; Cricetidae.